RNAcentral lists this ribosomal RNA (432 nucleotides) under uncultured bacterium. RNAcentral describes it as "partial 16S ribosomal RNA". It matches the Rfam family "Bacterial small subunit ribosomal RNA", at positions 29 to 507 of the family's 1533-position model. The record is from RNAcentral.
AACGAACGCUGGCGGCAUGCCUAACACAUGCAAGUCGAACGAGACCUUCGGGUCUAGUGGCGCACGGGUGCGUAACGCGUGGGAACCUGCCCUUAGGUUCGGAAUAACUCCCCGAAAGGGGUGCUAAUACCGGAUAAUGUCUUCGGACCAAAGAUUUAUCGCCUUUGGAUGGGCCCGCGUUGGAUUAGCUAGUUGGUAGGGUAAAAGCCUACCAAGGCGACGAUCCAUAGCUGGUCUGAGAGGAUGAUCAGCCACACUGGGACUGAGACACGGCCCAGACUCCUACGGGAGGCAGCAGUGGGGAAUAUUGGACAAUGGGCGAAAGCCUGAUCCAGCAAUGCCGCGGGAGUGAUGAAGGCCUUAGGGUUGUAAAGCUCUUUUACCCGGGAUGAAAUGACAGUACCGGGAGAAUAAGCUCCGGCUAACUCCGUG